Molecule: unclassified non-coding RNA, 332 nt
Filed under: soil metagenome
Description: partial contains 5.8S ribosomal RNA, internal transcribed spacer 2, and large subunit ribosomal RNA
Rfam family: 5.8S ribosomal RNA (bases 1-120)
Source: RNAcentral
GAUGAAGAACGCAGCAAAAUGCGAUAAGUAAUGUGAAUUGCAGAAUUCAGUGAAUCAUCGAAUCUUUGAACGCACAUUGCGCCCGCCAGUAUUCUGGCGGGCAUGCCUGUUCGAGCGUCAUUUCAACCCUCAAGCACAGCUUGGAGUUGGGACUCGCGUUAAUUCGCGUUCCCCAAAUUGAUUGGCGGUCACGUCGAGCUUCCAUAGCGUAGUAGUAAAACCCUCGUUACUGGUAAUCGUCGCGGCCACGCCGUUAAACCCCAACUUCUGAAUGUUGACCUCGGAUCAGGUAGGAAUACCCGCUGAACUUAAGCAUAUCAAUAAGCGGAGGA